Paramacrobiotus metropolitanus is the source of this 5000-nucleotide long non-coding RNA. RefSeq lists it as uncharacterized. The transcript is spliced from 5 exons. The record is from RefSeq and is a predicted model, not a curated record. NCBI's taxonomy places the organism in Eukaryota, Metazoa, Tardigrada, Eutardigrada, Parachela, Macrobiotidae.
UGUCGAUGGCGCCUUCCUCAACGACUAUUCAGCCUUCUGCUAUGCUUGUCAGACAGCAGCAGAUCGCUUUACACCUAAUUUGGUGGAGCGCGUAAAAACUGAUCCGGGCACCUCUUUCGGUGCUGCCACUUGUGGCUUCUCCGCGCUGGUGCCCCACGGCCUCGAUCCCUUUGUGGGAUUCUAGUCGCGUAACAGGGGAAACAGCUCAAGCUCUCCGUUUUGAGAAACCUGCGCCGCAGCCACCUGUCUUCUGAGACUCUUGUACAGCAAGGGUUACAGCACAGGAGCAAGUUCUCCGUUUCGAGAUACCGGACUCUGUACCGCCGCCAAUGCUGGAUCCGAUCGAUGAAGGAAAUCACACCGCUUAUGGUGUGUACAAUGGAAAACCAGUGCGUUACUGGUGCAAACUAAUCGAUAAUGAUCCAGAUCGAUCACAGGCCGUUUCGCCUGACAGAUAAACAAAUCAAAUUCAGAAACCGUAGGUACGGCUCUGCUAUCAUUCAAAGUGCGAUUCGCGGUGAAUCCAAGGGCGAAGAUCUCGGCGGACAAGAUCCCGCUUAGUGAGCAAUGCUAUAAGUAUUGCGAACGGUGCUACAACACACGACAUACGAUAGCUAUUGCAAACUUUACUGACUGUUGACAAGUGAAAACUCUCAGCUAGCGGACUGUUCUCAUAUCAGCAUUCACAUCCGCAUUCGCCACGUGGUGAGCACCUGACAGACAGAAUCGGCUCUAAGAGUGUGCACAGAAACGGAAACUGGGAUUUUGGACAUGCAUCCAUGCAUUCUAAUAAAUACGAGCGUAUUCCUGGCCGGCCGGAAUGGAAACAACUGCUUUUCAGUGAAUCUUUUGUAAUGUUUGGACGCAUCCGUGUGGUAUCUCCGGCGACAAUUGAAGUGGUAGCCGACGUCGUAGUUGUUCGUAAGACUACUCCGCUUAGUUCAGACUGGAUAAUAAAACCAUGCCUAAAGAAACGGUUACGCGUUUAAUGGGUUUGGAUAAAUUCGAUACCACCUUUGCUUUACAAAAGUUGUGGGACACAGAUCCAGCGAUGUGUCACUCUGCUACAGAGAAGAUGGAAGCCCGAUAUCAGUCUAUCGUUGCAGAAUGCAAAAAAGUCAUUGGAGAUUUGGAAGCGGAACAGGAUGCUGCAUUUGUAUUUUGUGGAUACGGACAACUGGUUUGAUGAGAACGGAGACUAAAGCACUCAGCGACAAAAGUAAUUGCUGGGUAUUUUCCGAUUUGUAACAGAACUGGUGGAACACACACUAGUCAAGCGGGAAAAAGCUAUGCGCCAUUCUGACGGCUUGCUGAGAUUUUGCGGAGUUUUUAAGAAUAUCUCUACGGCUGCGUAUACUUACUCUCGGAGCUUCUUGUUUGAAAUUUUACCUCACAUCAGUCACUUGCGGGACUGUGCUUCGGCUAACUCCAUGAGUGAAGGUAUUCAAGAAGAAAAUAUGCUGAAACUUAAGACAAUUUCCGAAUCCCUCGACGACAAGCACCUGGAUGUCGAGCUGAUUAGUGGCCAGACAUUCACAGUUGAAAAACUGGAGUACCGAGGAGGGGAAAUAGUCGGAGUUGCAGAGAAUCAACAGGAUGUUGUUGCAGCUAAAUAUGGGCUGCUAUUGGUUUUGCAAAGCUUCACAGGCAAAGUCAGAAAGAUUUUGACAUACUAUUUUGUGAAAAAUUUUGAAGGCUCGGAAAUGGCAGAAAUUCUUGAAAAUUUGCUGAUCCUGCGUACAAGAAGAACGAAAUUUCGGCCUUUGGUUUGCUCAUCUGACAACGGCGCCGAAAACAUGGGAUGCCAUUCUCUUUUUAUCAGUAACAAAAAUUAGUUUCCUUGGAGAUUUCCAAAUCCUUGCAUAGAAGGCGCAUACAUUUAUAUCCUGUUGUACAUAAUUCAUUUGUUGAAGCGGAUUUGGACAAACUGUGUUUCGAAAAAAUAACUCUUUUGUCAUCGAAGCUGGCAUUCAUCGGGUGGAUUUGACGCUGCUUUUCCAGAUUUACGAAAUAGAACGCGGUUCCGUGAUUAAGAAUGCUCCAAACCUCACAGCAAAGCUGUUCUUCCCAAACGGAUUUGAGAAGAUGGAUGUUUCUAACGCCAGAAAGAUAUUCUGUUCGCACCGUACUCUGGGUACAUUAAGGAUGUUAACUGAUAAUACGGAUCACGGUUUGCUCACAGAGCUAUCCAGGAUAUGUGGAAAAAAUCAGGAACAAUGUGCUAAUGAUUUUAACGUGCUGGUGUGGUUCAUCGAAACCGUGCGGAAAAUUGUUAUGCCCCUUACGGUGUUGAGCCCUCGCCAAGCGGCACGGUUAAAACAGCCACUGUACGAGGCAAUUACGAGUACUAUGGAAAAUAUCGAUACCGUAUUUUCUAAUAUGAAAGCAGCUCUUGCUGAACUUUGCUUUUCCGCUAACUGGAGGAAAUCACUACCUAAACCGACGUGGACUGGUCUGCACGUUACUGUAUACGGCUUUAAAGUUGUAGCAAGGCACUUGCUGAAUUCUCGGUUCGAUUUCAUCCUACCCGGGAAAAUGACUAGCGAUCCAGUUGAGAGAAUAUAUUUUAAACAUUUAAGUAUGGUUCCGGUAAAGUGACUGUCGUGAAAGUCAAGGAAGAAGUGAGAAAACUGGAGUCGCUGCAAAAUUUGACGGGUACGACAAACGUGAGCCGAUUGGGGCGUCAAAAACGGAAAAACAAUGGUCUUUCUUUCCAUACGUCUCCGCUGGAAAAGAGGCGCACGACUGGCCGAUCGCUACGCAGAGCGGUAUUUGAUUUUGGAGCAGAUCUUGAGAGUUGAGCUUGUGCGGAACUUCGGAGAUGUAUUGUUGGCUUUGCGUUCAGAAAAUUUUUUGGAGCUGCAGAAAGAAAUCCCUACGUUAUGGAGCUCACCAGAAAUAGUUGAAUUGGUUUGUAAGAGCCCGCAGAGCGUCCGUAGUACGUAAUAAAUUAGGUAUACCUUGCAUUUGCUUAUAUGUACGCUACGAGGACACGCUAAGUACGAGGAGAAAGCUAAUAUCUUCGGUAGCGCGUUCAAAUUCCUGAGACUCUUCGAACACUGUGGCACUGACUGUGCGCAUGCACGAUUUGACUAAACAGUCAACCGUAGGAGGUUGCCAGUCUCCGUUUAGCUAGAACGGUGUUGAUUGGCGCACCUAUCCACGGCGGACGGUCAAGUUAAGAGGAUUGACAGCCUUCUUCGGUUGGCUGUUAAAGUCAAAUGUGCAUGGGCCAAGUGUUCGAAAUGACUCGGGAUUUUGACUGCGCUACCGAAGAUAUUAGCUUUCUCCUCGUAUACGUGAUAGACAGCGAGAAUGGAGUGAUUGGUUUAAGCCCUCGCCCUCUAUCCCCCCGGACGCAAACUACGCACUACGGACUUAACUAGUGCUAACAAGUACCACUUUGGUACACUGCGCAUGGUCAAGAUAUUGGGUUUUUUCACUUCGCGAAUGCAUCAAAAUGUAUGGCAAAUAUAUCUCUUUUAUACUCCAAUGAUGGCGUACUAGGUGUUUAAUAUAAAAGUUUCGUGAAAUGUUCGCCAUAACUUUGCUCUUACUUGACUACAACGCCUCAGAUUCUAUGAUACUGGGUUGGCUUGGCUCAAGCCAUGUUUACCCAGUAAGCGCUAUGGCAAAGUUCACCGUAAAGGCGUAAACUGCCGCACUUUAGCCACGCCCCAGCCUUUAGCCCCGCCCCAACGCGUUAGACCAAUUACUCCAUUAAUGAUAACCAUGCCCUGCUCGUGCAACGCGGGCAACCACCCAGGUUUGCAGUUGCUUGUAAACACAUAAAAAAUAACUGACUGAAAAUUAUGCAAACUUCCAGCGCUCAUUUCUCGUGCACUCUGGAAUAGGACUACUCAACCAAUAUACCAGAAGACGCAGCAAAAAAUAACGCGAUUUUUGAUACCAAAUAAGUGAGAAUAUACGCCGAUCCAAACAGAUUACAGCUAGUUUCGUUUUCUCAUAGCCUUAGCAUAGAAUCCACGCUCAAGGGUUCCCCACACAGAAUCCUGUGCUAUGUCUACGAGAAACUCAAAAAGGCUAUCAUCUGUCUUAAUCGCUAUGAAUUGCAACUUGUUGGGUAUCAAAAAUCUUCUAGAUUUUUUCUGCAUCUUUUGCUACAUUGGUCAAAUAGUUUCGUUCCAUAGUACACGAAGAAUAAGAGCUGGAAGUUAGCAUACGAGUCUAUGAAGACGAGAUGUUUUCUACACAGUACGUGGACCGCCAACCCUUGGUGGCUGGGUGUGCUGCACAACACGUGAUUGGUUAUCAUUAAAUCUCGCUGGUUUUUUUGUCUAUCACGUAUACUUAGCGUGUCCUCUUAAGUUUUUGUUCUUGUCCUUCUAAGUUUUCUUAGAAAUCGUGGCAUUCGGUUUGACCGACGUGGGUGGAUAUAUUGUUUCCAAAGUCCAGAAACGAAAGUUUCCUCGUCCUUCAUGCAAAUCUGGUGUCGGGAACGUAUUUGGGGUUAGCUUCGCGGACAACGAUGACUGGUUGUAGCAAGAUCGCGUGUUGACUUCGGCGGCUUAAGUGUACCCUCACAGCAGAUUAACAUGCUGUUGCAGUAUGGAUUAGGAUUUUUUGAACAAUUACAAAACAUCAGCGGUUUUUACAAUGGAGGUCGGCAUUUGGAAAGAACAUUGAAAUUGAUUUUGUCGUCAAUGGAAAUUCAUGGCUUUCAUCCUUUGAGUUAUAUCUGUGUUUGUGGGUUUGUGGUUCUUUAGCUAUUUAGAAUACGAGUGUCUCAAGAGAUUUUUUAAUACUGCCUUUAAGAACGAUGUUAGAGAGUGACGAGCCGAAGCGCUGAAGCGAAAAUAUAGGGCUUGGAAGGCUGUACCGAUGAUAUCAGAUCCUGGUAAACUUGAAAAACUGAAGCAGCUCCAGAAAUUUUCCAAGUUGUUUCCACAGAUAUAUAUGUAAAUUCGUACUCUCGUAAAAGUGAGUAACCUUGCAGUAAUAAUGUGCACCUUAAAAUCACAUAAAAAAUCGGAGGCAGU